Molecule: ribosomal RNA, 254 nt
Filed under: uncultured bacterium
Lineage: Bacteria
Description: partial 16S ribosomal RNA
Rfam family: Bacterial small subunit ribosomal RNA
Source: RNAcentral
UACGUAGGGGCCUAGCGUUGUCCGGAUUUAUUGGGCGUAAAGAGCUCGUAGGCGGUUUGGUAAGUUGGAUGUGAAAUCUCCAGGCUCAACUUGGAGGGGUCAUUCGAUACUGCCAUGACUAGAGUUCGGUAGGGGAGUGUGGAAUUCCUGGUGGAGCGGUGAAAUGCGCAGAUAUCAGGAGGAACACCCGUAGCGAAGGCGGCACCCUGGGCCGGAACUGACGCUGAGGAGCGAAAGCGUGGGGAGCGAACAGG